Molecule: ribosomal RNA, 254 nt
Filed under: uncultured bacterium
Lineage: Bacteria
Description: partial 16S ribosomal RNA
Rfam family: Bacterial small subunit ribosomal RNA
Source: RNAcentral
CACAGAGGUCUCAAGCGUUGUUCGGAUUCAUUGGGCGUAAAGGGUGCGUAGGCGGCGCGGUAAGUCGGGUGUGAAAUCUCGGAGCUUAACUCCGAAACUGCAUUCGAUACUGCCGUGCUUGAGGACUGGAGAGGAGACUGGAAUUUACGGUGUAGCGGUGAAAUGCGUAGAUAUCGUAAGGAAGACCAGUGGCGAAGGCGGGUCUCCUGGACAGUUCCUGACGCUGAGGCACGAAGGUCAGGGGAGCAAACGGG